UUAUGGCCUUGUUGAGUAAGAGGACAGUGACUGGGAUCAUACCAAGAGAGGAAACUACUUUUCAGAGGUCAAGCUAUAAAUAUAGAGCCUGAAGAACCGGAGGAAGAAGCUCCUGAGCAUGAACCAAAGUCCUGGACCUUGUGAAGAAAACAUUUCCCGGGAAAAGAGCGUCUGCCGAUACGACCUCGCAGAGAAGUUUCUGCUGAUCCUGAUUGAACCAUGUCACCGUGAGAACAUUGAGAACACUUAUUUAGUGUCUUUAGUUACUUCAUGCCUUCAUACAAUAUUGUUUAUGUUCAUAAUUGUGAAA
Halichondria panicea is the source of this 310-nucleotide long non-coding RNA. RefSeq lists it as uncharacterized. The record is from RefSeq and is a predicted model, not a curated record. Lineage: Eukaryota; Metazoa; Porifera; Demospongiae; Suberitida; Halichondriidae. The transcript is spliced from 2 exons.